Molecule: non-coding RNA, 88 nt
Organism: Caenorhabditis elegans
Lineage: Eukaryota; Metazoa; Nematoda; Chromadorea; Rhabditida; Rhabditidae
Source: Ensembl
GGGGCCGUUGGGCAGUGGGCCCCCGACGCAAUUGAGAAAUGUUGUUGCACUUGUGAACAAUGGUGUAAUGGGAUAUAUAUUGGUACAU